GCGUUGGCGGUGCAGUGGUAGAAUUCUCGCCUGCCACGCGGGAGACCGGGGUUCGAUUCCCCGCCCACGCA
This 71-nucleotide transfer RNA is filed under the name Paramuricea clavata. It matches the Rfam family "tRNA". Rfam says of the family: Transfer RNA (tRNA) molecules are approximately 80 nucleotides in length. Their secondary structure includes four short double-helical elements and three loops (D, anti-codon, and T loops). The record is from Rfam by way of RNAcentral. Lineage: Eukaryota; Metazoa; Cnidaria; Anthozoa; Malacalcyonacea; Plexauridae.